This 598-nucleotide long non-coding RNA is filed under the name Nicotiana benthamiana. Its description in RNAcentral is "long non-coding RNA (NBEN_LNC002409)". The record is from RNAcentral. Lineage: Eukaryota; Viridiplantae; Streptophyta; Magnoliopsida; Solanales; Solanaceae.
UUCCCUCCAAGAACUUACCACCUUGCUCUUGGGGAGACUCGAACUCACAACCUCUCGGUUGUAAGUGGGGGUUGUUUGACUUUUGACUCAGAGACGAUCCAAGAUUUGAAGUUUUAUGGGUUUUUUACAACAAUUUUAACUUAAUAUACAAUAAUAACUAGGGUUAACAGUGAUUAUGUAUUUAGUAAAUUUUUUAAUAAAAAUAUACGGGCUGUGCAAAAGCUAUUACAUUCUCGUGAACCAAUAAGUUGUGUUCUAGAUCUGUUCUAGUUAACCCAAUAUUAAGAAAACCAUAUGCAAAAAAAAUAUUCCAUGACUCAUGCAUGUUAGAGGCAUUAAUUAAGUAGUGGGCAGCACAGUUGAUGAAUGAUAUUUUAAUCCACUGUUGUUGGAUAAUAUUUUAGAUAUAAAUGUUGUUCCUUAGUUGUGGUUGACCAAUACACAGUUCAAUCCAAAAUUCCUUCACAAUCCAUAAGCUAGAGAUCUCUGCUUUAAUUAAGGUGCUUCUCUUAUUUUACAAUUUUCAUAUCAUUCUUGUAGGAGAACAAUUUAAAGGUAAAAGACCUUUAAAUGUAAGAAGGAAAGAGAUUUUGUUUAG